AUUGCCCUCAUGAAUCCUUUUCCCACUCAACUCAGGGUACCAAGAGGGCAGGUUUGCACCUACCUAGAGUGUACAGUAAAACUACAGACAGUUUCAACAUAUCUUACUCCAACAUAAACUCUGAUCAGUUUAGAUAAUCUUUGUCACUCCUGAGUCAUGACUGGGCACAGACCUCACCCAGUGGCCACAGGAAUCAAUGGGAGAUUUCACUGUGAGAACAAUAAACAGUGUAAGCACCA
Long non-coding RNA from Passer domesticus (house sparrow), 239 nucleotides. RefSeq lists it as uncharacterized. Lineage: Eukaryota; Metazoa; Chordata; Aves; Passeriformes; Passeridae. The record is from RefSeq and is a predicted model, not a curated record. The transcript is spliced from 3 exons.